RNAcentral lists this ribosomal RNA (460 nucleotides) under uncultured bacterium. Its description in RNAcentral is "partial 16S ribosomal RNA". It matches the Rfam family "Bacterial small subunit ribosomal RNA", at positions 338 to 795 of the family's 1533-position model. The record is from RNAcentral.
CCUACGGGUGGCAGCAGUGAGGAAUAUUGGUCAAUGGGCGCGAGCCUGAACCAGCCAAGUAGCGUGAAGGAUGACUGCCCUACGGGUUGUAAACUUCUUUUAUAAAGGAGUAAAGUGAUGCACGUGUGCCUUUUUGUAUGUACUUUAUGAAUAAAGAUCGGCUAACUCCGUGCCCGCAGCCGCGGUAAGCCGGAGGAUCCGGGCGUUAUCCGGAUUUAUUGGGUUUAAAGGGAGCGUAGAUGGGUUGUUAAGUCAGUUGUUAAAGUUUGCGGCUCAACCGUAAAAUUGCAAUUGAUACUGGCAGUCUGGAGUACAGUUGAGGUAGGCGGAAUUCGUGGUGUAGCGGUGAAAUGCUGAGAUAUCACGAAGAACUCCGAUUGCGAAGGCAGCUUACUAAACUGCAACUGACAUUGAUGCUCGAAAGUGUGGGUAUCAAACAGGAUUAGAUACCCGUGUAGUC